Molecule: long non-coding RNA, 612 nt
Filed under: Bos indicus x Bos taurus (hybrid cattle)
Lineage: Eukaryota; Metazoa; Chordata; Mammalia; Artiodactyla; Bovidae
Description: lncRNA (ENSBIXG00005022841.1)
Source: RNAcentral
AACAUAGCUGUCAGCUGUGGUUUUAUUCUGUGGAAGGCUAAAAGCCAUCCUAUUUAAUAAUUUUAAUUCAUUUUUGCCCAAAGAUCCAUUUGUGAUAGUUUCCUUUUAAAUUUUAAGAUAUUGAAUAUUAUUCUUCUGACUGAUGCUAUUAUCUGCUGUCACGUAGAUGGCGUAGCCUAGGAAACACGAAGCCAGCCCGGACCAUAUCAUGUCUGUGCUUUCUUCUUGUUCUGUCUCUGACUUAUUUUAUGAAAACUGACAGGUUUUGGGGAAGCCAUUCAUCCCUAGAGUCUGCCUGCGCUGAUGCUCUGAGUCUGUUGGGUUCCCGGAGAGUGAAGGCAGAUUAAUCAUGAAAGAGUGAAAGGGAUCUUUUUCUCUGGCUAUGCAUCUGAUUCCUGGUAGAGAUGGUCUGUUUCUUCAUUUCCAAACUUUAUCUGAUAUUCUAAGAUGCACAGAGAGAAGAAAUUUCAGUGGUCCUAGCCCAGGAAACUACCACCUCAGCGUAAGGGUGUAAUAAGAGUUCUCAAGGAAUCACCAACACAAGCCUGGGAACACUCGAGACCUUCCAGAAAAUACUCUCAGGUCUGUAACUCCAUGAUCUGUAAAUAAACC